CAAGUCGUAACAAAGUAAGUGUACUGGAAAGUGUAUUCAGAUAG
RNAcentral lists this ribosomal RNA (44 nucleotides) under Tuberaphis sp. 3 TTX-2016. RNAcentral describes it as "partial 12S ribosomal RNA". Lineage: Eukaryota; Metazoa; Arthropoda; Insecta; Hemiptera; Hormaphididae. The record is from RNAcentral.